AUUAACUCGGAUGUGAUAACUAUGUGUGAGAGGUUGGAUCGAAUGGAGAAUCGAAGGAACUCUCAUGCUUUUACUCCCGAAACUUUACUUCCAAUGACCAAUCCACCAAGGCCACCACAUAAUGCAACAAGCCAAGCUCCAAAUAGCCCUUAAGACCGAGAACAAGAUAGACCACUUCCCCCGCAAGUUGAUCAAGUCCAACAAGGAGGACUUGGAAGCCAAUUUCCU
This 228-nucleotide long non-coding RNA is filed under the name Capsicum annuum. RNAcentral's name for it is "long non-coding RNA (CANN_LNC021946)". Lineage: Eukaryota; Viridiplantae; Streptophyta; Magnoliopsida; Solanales; Solanaceae. The record is from RNAcentral.